Molecule: ribosomal RNA, 773 nt
Filed under: uncultured bacterium
Lineage: Bacteria
Description: bacterial SSU rRNA
Rfam family: Bacterial small subunit ribosomal RNA
Source: RNAcentral
CCGUUGAAACUGUAAGACUUGAGUGUAAAUGAGGUAGGCGGAAUGCGUGGUGUAGCGGUGAAAUGCAUAGAUAUCACGCAGAACUCCGAUUGCGAAGGCAGCUUACUAAGCUACAACUGACACUGAAGCACGAAAGCGUGGGGAUCAAACAGGAUUAGAUACCCUGGUAGUCCACGCAGUAAACGAUGAUUACUAGCUGUUUGCGAUACACAGUAAGCGGCACAGCGAAAGCGUUAAGUAAUCCACCUGGGGAGUACGCCGGCAACGGUGAAACUCAAAGGAAUUGACGGGGGCCCGCACAAGCGGAGGAACAUGUGGUUUAAUUCGAUGAUACGCGAGGAACCUUACCCGGGUUUGAACGUAGGGAGACAGGGGUGGAAACAUCCUUUUCAGCAAUGACUGCCUACGAGGUGCUGCAUGGUUGUCGUCAGCUCGUGCCGUGAGGUGUCGGCUUAAGUGCCAUAACGAGCGCAACCCUUAUUUUCAGUUACUAACAGGUGAUGCUGAGGACUCUGAAGAGACUGCCCAGCGUAAGCUGUGAGGAAGGUGGGGAUGACGUCAAUCAGCACGGCCCUUACAUCCGGGGCGACACACGUGUUACAAUGGUAAGGACAAAGGGCAGCUACCGGGCGACCGGAUGCGAAUCUCUAAACCUUAUCUCAGUUCGGAUCGGAGUCUGCAACUCGACUCCGUGAAGCUGGAUUCGCUAGUAAUCGCGCAUCAGCCAUGGCGCGGUGAAUACGUUCCCGGGCCUUGUACACACCGCCCGUCAA